This 190-nucleotide small nuclear RNA is filed under the name Oncorhynchus mykiss (rainbow trout). RNAcentral describes it as "U2 spliceosomal RNA (ENSOMYG00000076578.1)". It matches the Rfam family "U2 spliceosomal RNA". From Rfam's summary of the family: U2 is a small nuclear RNA (snRNA) component of the spliceosome (involved in pre-mRNA splicing). Complementary binding between U2 snRNA (in an area lying towards the 5' end but 3' to hairpin I) and the branchpoint sequence (BPS) of the intron results the bulging out of an unpaired adenosine, on the BPS, which initiates a nucleophilic attack at the intronic 5' splice site, thus starting the first of two transesterification reactions that mediate splicing. Lineage: Eukaryota; Metazoa; Chordata; Actinopteri; Salmoniformes; Salmonidae. The record is from RNAcentral.
AUCGCUUCUCGGCCUUUUGGCUAAGAUCAAGUGUAGUAUCUGUUCUUAUCAGUUUAAUAUCUGAUACGUCCCCAUCGGGGGACUACAUAUUAAAUGGAUUUUUCGAACAGGGAGUCGGAAAUGGGGCUUGCUCCGUCCGCUCCACGCAUCGACCCGGUAUUGCAGUACCUCCGGGAACGGUGCAACACUU